Octopus sinensis (East Asian common octopus) is the source of this 239-nucleotide long non-coding RNA. RefSeq lists it as uncharacterized. The record is from RefSeq and is a predicted model, not a curated record. The transcript has 3 exons. Lineage: Eukaryota; Metazoa; Mollusca; Cephalopoda; Octopoda; Octopodidae.
AAUUGACUGAUUGGAUGUCUUCAUCCUACUCACACAAUCAAGAUCAAGAUUGGAGAUCCAGUAAUGUUAUUACAAAAAAUAUUGGAUCAUGCUCAAGGCCACUGCAAUAGUACUCAUUACAUGGUACUCAACACUACUGACACUUUACUGACUUUGAGGACAAGUCAACAGUGUUGAUACUGGAACAGUGCUGACGUUUUCUUGAAUUCCUCUUUGGCCCUCUGAAACAGACUUACCAU